Molecule: ribosomal RNA, 242 nt
Filed under: uncultured bacterium
Lineage: Bacteria
Description: partial 16S ribosomal RNA
Rfam family: Bacterial small subunit ribosomal RNA
Source: RNAcentral
GAGGGUGAGCGAACCCCAAAAAGGCCCCCCCAGUUCGGAUUGCAGCCUGCAACUCGGCUGCAUGAAGCUGGAAUCGCUAGUAAUCGCGGAUCAGAAUGCCGCGGUGAAUACGUUCCCGGGUCUUGUACACACCGCCCGUCACACCAUGGGAGUCGGUAACACCCGAAGUCGGUAGUCUAACCGAAAGGAGGACGCCGCCGAAGGUGGGAUUGAUGACUGGGGUGAAGUCGUAACAAGGUAGC